Long non-coding RNA from Orbicella faveolata, 4086 nucleotides. RefSeq lists it as uncharacterized. Lineage: Eukaryota; Metazoa; Cnidaria; Anthozoa; Scleractinia; Merulinidae. The record is from RefSeq and is a predicted model, not a curated record.
CUCUAUAUCCUUGUGGUAGUGAUUUGCGGGCGUGCUGGACGUCCAACCUCACAUCUAGGCGGCUCUACAGUUGCUCCCCCCCUCAGUCUGUGCCUGCCCAUAGAGAAAAUUGCCAGAUGCUAGUGUGAGAAGCGCGCUUUGUUUGAUUUCUUUCUUUGAUUGAAUGAAGGUUUCUGCCCUGAGGGGAAGUGGGCCGCACUCGGAGGAAGUGCUACACCGAGACAACCCGUGACUGGGACGAGGCAAGCCUCUUUUCCACAGCUCAGUUCCAGAAAUCAUUUUAAUAUAUGAGCUGCUCAAUGAGCAGCGUAUCAGAUAUUAAGCUGAUAAGAACAAAUUUAAGUUUUGAAAUGAGUUUAUUCAGAAUAAACUACUUAAGUACAUGCUAAAAAAUGCAAGGCACGUGAGCUUGGCCCCUCACAAAAAGCUAUGUUCAUUUUCCCAUUAUAAAAUUACGGAAGUCAUCAAAAGUGUCAAUUGCGAUCAUAAGUUUACAUAACAUUUAACAAUGCUGAUCAUAAAAUUAUCUGGGAUUAUCAUAUAUACAAAAUAAUAUUUAACUAGGAAAACACUUUACAUACACUAUAUACAAAAAUCCGGAGUUAGAUUAUUCGCUCUCGAUUUCUAUGCGUGAUAGAAAUCUCGAGCUCAUAAUCUAAUUCUUUAAUGGUACUGGUGCAGCUCUGCUAUAACGUAUUCCGCUGUAAAAUUGCCGCCACCAGUUGAAUACCUGGCAAACAAGUGGUUACGUACUUUAUUGUCAUUGGAGGAAGUAAGGGGUACCCGGUAGAUAACAUAUCAGAUGACAAAGGACAAAAGCACAAAACUACUCAAGCCAAGAAGUGAACUGACGAUUCACCUGGCGUUUAUUCUAACCAACAUGCGAACCGAACUUGGACCAAGUUUCGUGUAGAAGACAGCUUACGAUACUCGUGAAUAUUGUGGAGUCCGACAGACUCCAGGAAGCGAUGAAAACCAAAUAAAACAAAAUGAAGCGCUCGUCAUUCCUUGGAUUCAGAUGAAUGUUAAAGAUAGCAAAGUUUAGUUUGACUCAAUGAGUGUUUAACAUCUUCAGUCUUCCACCAGGUCCCCCUUGAAAGGUUGAGGAGGGUCCCAGUGUCAGGUUAGAGACUACAAAGAACAAUAGAAGAAUUAAGAGUGUAGGUGAGUUGAUCAUGGAGGGAUAACGCAAUGAAAUACACUGGUAUUCUACAGGCUUUUCGUUUCCAGCUGGGACUAUGGCAAGCCAAGAGGAAGAAUGAGUUAGAGAAGAAUGAGUUAGAGGCUAACGUGCGACUAACACAUGCAGUGCCAAACAGGACAGAGCGAAGAGAAGAAAAAGAAAAAGUAAACAAAGAACUGUGAUGCUUUGUUCAAUUGAACAGUGUCCCUGAGGUACCUCAAAAAGUAGUUAGUGUCAGGUUCAUAUUGCCUUUAUUUUCAUCGAACUAGUUUGAAUAUAUUUUACUGGGUAGCCAAGUCACCUAAUACAGACUUCUACCGCGCUCCUUACAUGAUAAACACAGAUGAGUGCACCUUUUUCAAAUUUUCAUAGUCAAUAUAAUAAAAAGACUGACUGCAAGCAUUCCCUUCGAAUUCACUCCGGCCCUCUUGGAUCAUCAAGUAGGACUUUUCAGACAUAUCAGCAAGCAUUUCCAUGAGAUCAUCUUUUUUCUGAGUUUAGUUUAUGACUUUCACUGGUUCCAGGAAAAGAAAUGACUGCUUGACAGUCGUUUACAAAAGAAAUAAGUUAUUAAUCUAAUCAAAACGAGACUAAAUGUUUACUGAACUGUCCUACAUGAUAUGUAAUAAUUAGUGCUGAGGAAUGAAUUCAAAUAUUAAUAGUAAAUCGAAUUAGAUCUCAACUUAAAUUUUCAUGCAAGGCCGUAGUUUGCUCUGGGUAUUCAGCUAGGUAAGCGUUUUAUUAAAAUUUUUUUUUCGAAGCUUUCGUUAGGUCGAAGAUUUAGUUAAUUUACCUUUGAUUCGACUAAAUUUACGAAUAGCUACUUUGGGUCACUUCUGGCUUAAACAUGUCUGCAUCCAAGAUUUUUAUCCUGCGGAACUUAAAUUUUACUUAAAUAAGUGUCAAGAGACCCCACAGGUUGUUGUUGGCGAGUGGUAAUUGCCUGCCAUAUAAUCCAUCUUUGAUUCUCGUUUGCAAAUCUCUCUCUCAUAGCGUCACGCGUAAUUUUGUAAAGCUCUCCUUAUUUUCGUCAUCCAAGGAAUAAUAGAAGUAUUUCACAGCUCGCGAACAACAACAACAAUAAUAAUGAUAAUAAUAAUAAUAAUAAUAAUAAUAAUACCAUUAAUAACGCUAAGAAGAAAUAUUGCUAUAUUGCCAAAUCCCAAGGGUCCAAAUUCCACAUAAAAAUUAAUCUAAAAAUUAUAGUAAUUGAAAACCAGCAGAGAAACUUCAGAUAGAACUAAAGCAAUUAGAACGUAACGGUUAACUUAAAAAUGAGUGUUUAAAAGGCCAAGUUAAAAUGGUCAAUAUAAGAUCGGACAGUGCGGUGGGGCAAUUUAAAUAUUGUUCCAUUUUAUCAAGCGAGCUAUUUAUAUCUUCAGAACCGAAGCCAUGAAAUGAAGCAUGCCCUUGAGAACUAGAUGUAUCAGGAAUUGGAGCUUGUUCCAUAGCAUUGAUAGUUUGUUGGUGAAAUUCCCGAUGGUUCUGCUGUUGACUCCUUAAUUCCUGUUGCGCUGUUACAACUGGUACUUGCUGGCCACAAACCGCAAAGACGUUGUCUGUGGUCACCAAAAACAAUCUUGUUGUACUUGUUGACCACCUGCUGUAAAGUCGGUGUUUCCGGAAAAAUUUUCCUUUUGUCUAUUUUUUCUCUCUUUUUUCUCUCUCUUUUUCUCUCUUUCUUUUUCUCUUCCUUUUUCUAAAACUGAACAUUUUGGAACAAAAUUCAUCUGGAUCUUUUAUAUCCUGGUCUUCCAAUUCAGCGAGUACCUCUUCUCGCAAACAAUAGGCUCUCUGGAAGUCUGUAGCUAUAGGCGGGUCACUUGAACUCGCAUUGUUUUUGUGGCUGGGUUCGACCCAGGGGUUUCACGCUGACAUCGACGGGUUACAAAUUCGUCUUAUUUUCUAUAUCAGCUAUUUCUGGACGGGCUUCUGGUACUCCGGAAAUUUUCUCUUCUCCGAGGCUUCGUUCGCGUUGUAACUCGUAGGCUAUUUCACUUUCGUCGAAUGGCAAAUCGCAUUCAACACAGGCAUCAACCUUCGACUUGGGCGUACUGCUUCCGUACAAUUUUCUUCAGCUUCUCAAAUUGUACGGUUUUUUGGAAUAACUUCGAGAUGAAACUGUCAAUUUUUUUCACUUACUUGCUCGUCCGCUCCAAUGGGUUACAUUCCGUUCAGGACUGUUCUGAAUGUCUCCUGAUAAUUCCACCGUAACUACCACGCUUCUCCAGCACUAUGAUAAUAGGUUUUUGCCUGGGUAAGCUUUUCUAAAACCUGGGGAAAUUCUCUGUCUGCAGCGAGGCCAGGAUCUGUUACAGUAAUGUUAUCUACGGAGAACUGUAUAACAGAUAGAACUUGGGUCCAACAGUUGCCAUUUAAUGCAAGUAUUAAUCCUUAAACAAAGUGCCUCAUGUUAUUUAGGUCCGAAAUGUUUAUGUUCGCUUGUUAAUUUACAACAACAACAAUUUUAUUCACAAAAUGUUCAAAAGAGACUGAUCAAUACGCAUGCCUGUCCAGGUAGCAUGGACACCAGACGGCAAGCAAAUUGACUUGAAUAAGCUAAAAGAAAAAACAAAUACAUUAAAUAGUGGUUAAGCAGAAUCCAAACAAAACAAUACAAUACUAUACACUAGACACAUUAUGAUAAAUAUACUAUAAAAGACAAAACACAAAGUUAUUUAAAUAAUAAUAAUAAUAAUAAUAAUAAUAAUAAUUACAAUUGCGCAGUUUCUAUAAAAAUAUUCAACUGCACGUUCAAAUUAAUACAGAAAAUGAUUAUAAAGCUUAAAAUUUACAAUUCUAAAAUUCCGUUUAAUAAUAGAAUAAGUUACAAAUACUGCCAAUCAAAAUCUUAUUAAAUAACAAUUACUUGAUUAACCGCUCACGUAGCUAAUUAAUUAAAU